UUUCUGUUAAUUUUUCUUCCUUCAUUUUACAUUUGUAGCCGAUGCGGUUUCAGUCAGUGGCGAACUAGACACAAGUAAGGCAAACAGAUACCUUAUAGAAAAGUGGACAAAGUGGUCUAACGCAAAUGAUUUCAAUCAUGAUGGUGUUCUGUCAAUGGAUGACAUUAUACUCUUUGAGGACUAUUACAAAGAUCAAGAUAACCUGAGUGAUGAUCACUUAAAGGAAAUCGAAAAAAGAAUGAAUCGAGUAUGGAGGAAAAUAAUUUUAAAUAACACCAUGGAAGUCACUACAGACGACUUUGUAAAGAUGCUGAAGCAAAAAUAUGAAGCAGACAGAAAAGUAUUUACUAAGAUGAUGCGCGAGUUUAUUUUGGAUUGGUGCGAAACAAUGGACUUGAACGAUGACUAUUUCAUUUCAAAAGAAGAAUUUCUUACUAACAUGUUUGCAUGUCGGCAUAAUGAAGUUUCAGUAGACGACGAAUUCUUUCUGGCCUUUAAGCCUGUAAACGGACGGUUUCCUGUUAAAGCGAUGAUUAAAUAUUUCAUACGCUUUGUAACGGAGACAAAUGAGUCGACUCAAGACAUCUUUAACAACGCAUUAGAUUCUGGUUUUUAAAUAAUGUGUUGUUUCUUUUUUUAAUCUUUAUUUCGGAUAUAUUGCUUUACGACUAUAUUUCUUUUAAAGAAUUUCUGAAAACAGAUUCCGAAUUAAAUGUGAAACAGUAGAUCUUUUCGUGUUUAUGCUUUUGUUAUUUUUAAACAUAAUUUAAUGUCAUGAGAACAAUUCGAAAUAGUGUAAUCAAAACCAAUUCGAGAUAGGCUUUUUUGUUUGUUUUGAAAUCGUAUUUGUUUCAAUAUCAAUGAAAGUAUAUCAGUUCAAAAUCCUUGUUUUGCUAAAUUCAUCUAUAUGGAUGGAUUUUUGUCAUUUUUUAAAGGAGCCUUACAAACAAUUUAAAGAGGUUAUCUUAUUUGAUUUUUGUUUUUGUUUUUUUUGUUGUUAUUGUUGUUGUUUUUGUUGGUCUUACUUUUAUGGCACACUAACACAAAGGAAAGACGUCGUUUUUGCCAAAACUUAUGAUUAUGCAGUUAUAUCUAAACAGUCUUUGACUGAACCGAAAAUUUUACUUCAAAUAGAGGAUUUCGAAGUGACCACUUCCUUUAAUAUAUGGCAUUAUUUAUAUGCAUGCAUUGCAAGCAGAAGAUCUUGUAUUUCACUUCCUUAUUUAUUUAUGGGAACUGAUCGGAUAGCUUUUACUUUAAGCUUUACAUGGAUAUUGUUGGAUUUUAUCACUUCAGUUAGGCUUCAAGACCAGAUGUUUCAAGAUGUCAUGGGAAACGCAUCAUUUUUGGUUCUGUGCAAAUCACAGACGCUAUAAAACAAAACAUAUAAACGUUUAAUACAGCUGCACAAUUAAGAAGAUUUGUUUCUCUUUGAAUUCAAAUUAACUAUAUAUCUAUAAUGUGUUGUGUUAGAUUUUAUCUUUAAAGAGAAGAUAACAAUUAUUACAAAUAGUAAAAUUGAACUUGGAUUGAAAUAUGUAAAAGGCUUUCUUUUUUAUCAAUUCACUUAAUGAACCAUUACGAGCAUAAUGUAUAUGUAAAUAUGUUUUCAGAUGCAAUUAAAACAAUUUAUUAAAAAGAGUCACUACAAUUGCCUUUUAAUUUGUUAACCAGGUGUUCC
Long non-coding RNA from Ruditapes philippinarum (Manila clam), 1681 nucleotides. RefSeq lists it as uncharacterized. The transcript has 3 exons. The record is from RefSeq and is a predicted model, not a curated record. Lineage: Eukaryota; Metazoa; Mollusca; Bivalvia; Venerida; Veneridae.